GACGAACGCUGGCGGCGUGCUUAACACAUGCAAGUGGAGCGACGAACCGGGCUUCGGCCCGGGGCAAAGCCGCGAACGGGUGAGUAACACGUGGGUAACCUGCCCCGAUGAUUGGGACAACCUCGGGAAACCGAGGCUAAUACCAAAUGUGCUCACACUCCUCGAGGAGUGUGAGGAAAGGAAGCUUCGGCCUCCGCAUCGGGAUGGGCCCGCGGCGCAUUAGCUUGUUGGUGGGGUAAUGGCCUACCAAGGCUUCGAUGCGUAGCUGGUCUGAGAGGACGAUCAGCCACACGGGGACUGAGACACGGCCCAGACUCCUACGGGAGGCAGCAGUGGGGAAUCUUGCGCAAUGCGCGAAAGCGUGACGCAGCAACGCCGCGUGCGGGAAGACGGCCUUCGGGUUGUAAACCGCUUUCAGUUGGGACGAAGCUUCGCCGGUGAAUAGCCGGCCGGAGUGACGGUACCUUCAGAAGAAGCCCCGGCUAACUACGUGCCAGCAGCCGCAGUAA
RNAcentral lists this ribosomal RNA (509 nucleotides) under uncultured bacterium. RNAcentral's name for it is "partial 16S ribosomal RNA". It matches the Rfam family "Bacterial small subunit ribosomal RNA", at positions 28 to 523 of the family's 1533-position model. The record is from RNAcentral.